Schistocerca nitens (vagrant locust) is the source of this 3558-nucleotide RNA transcript. It is a transcript of the gene named cryptochrome-1-like, with no coding region annotated. NCBI's taxonomy places the organism in Eukaryota, Metazoa, Arthropoda, Insecta, Orthoptera, Acrididae. The transcript is spliced from 12 exons. The record is from RefSeq and is a predicted model, not a curated record.
CGUGCUGACUUCGCCCGCCACUGGGCGCCCACCGCGUACGUUUCGAGAAGUGUUCAACGUUUGGCAGCGAGCAGCUGUGUCCCUGACCCGCGUCACAACUUUUGCUAGAGCAAACGCAGCGUCGACAACUGCCCGCCGUUCGUGAAGAAUGCCAAGAUGAGCUUCGCUUCGCAUCCAGUGAAUCAGUGUCCGGGAUAAAUCAACUAUGUGUGCGAAAACCACUCAGGAACACACUGUGCAUUGGUUCAGAAGGGGACUUCGUCUACAUGACAACCCUAGUCUGCGUGCGGGACUGAUAGGUGCGAGGACAUUUCGGUGUAUUUUCAUCCUGGACCCUUGGUUCGCGGGUUCAUCUAAUGUCGGCAUUAACAAGUGGAGGUUUCUUCUCCAGUGUCUCGAAGACCUCGAUUCUAGCUUGCGGAAGCUCAAUUCUCGGCUGUUCGUCAUUAGAGGGCAGCCAGCUGAUGCCCUUCCAAAAUUGUUUAAGCAGGAAUGGGGGACAACAAACUUGACCUUUGAGGAAGAUCCUGAACCAUUUGGAAAGGUGCGUGAUCAGAACAUAAUGGCAAUGUGCAGAGAAAUGGGAAUCUCAGUAAUUUCCAUAGCUUCACACACACUGUACAGUCUUGAUACGAUCAUUGAAAAAAAUGGAGGGAAAGCACCUUUAACUUACCACCAGUUUCAAAAUAUAGUGGCUUCCAUGGACUCACCACCUCCAGCUGAACCCAGUAUCACACCAGCAUGUGUGAAAGAUAAAUUUACCCCUAUUUCUGAUGACCAUGACGAACGAUUUGGUGUUCCUACCUUAGAGGAAUUAGGUUUUGAUACUGAUGGCUUGAUGCCUCCUGUGUGGCAGGGAGGAGAAUCUGAGGCACUUGCGAGGCUGGAAAGGCACCUCGAAAGAAAGGCAUGGGUGGCAUCCUUUGGAAGACCAAGAAUGACAUCACAGUCAUUGCUUGCCAGUCAGACAGGUCUCAGUCCGUAUUUAAGAUUUGGAUGUUUGUCUACGAGGCUUUUCUAUUACCAGCUUACUGAUCUUUACAAAAAGAUAAAAAAGGCAUGCCCGCCUCUUUCUUUACAUGGACAGCUGUUAUGGCGGGAAUUUUUUUACUGUGCAGCAACAAAAAAUCCAUAUUUUGAUAAAAUGUAUGGAAACCCAAUAUGUGUACAAAUUCCAUGGGACAGGAAUCCAGAAGCACUUGCCAAGUGGGCCACAGGCCAAACAGGUUAUCCGUGGAUUGAUGCUAUAAUGAUACAGUUGCGUGAAGAAGGUUGGAUACAUUAUUUAGCCAGGCAUGCUGUGGCGUGUUUCCUUACACGAGGAGAUUUGUGGAUUUCAUGGGAAGAAGGCAUGAAGGUGUUUGAUGAACUACUGCUUGAUGCUGACUGGUCUGUUAAUGCUGGAAUGUGGAUGUGGCUGUCUUGCUCAUCCUUCUUUCAGCAGUUCUUCCAUUGUUAUUGUCCUGUCCGGUUUGGUCGCAAGGCAGAUCCAAAUGGGGACUUCAUAAGGAAGUACCUGCCCAUUUUGAAGAACUUUCCAACACGGUACAUCCAUGAACCUUGGAAAGCCCCUGAAUCAGUACAGAUAACAGCAAAGUGCAUCAUUGGGAAGGAAUUUCCUUUGCCUAUAGUGGAUCACCAAUACGCAAGUCGAAUAAACAUAGAACGAAUGAAGCAAGUGUAUCAACAGUUAAGCAAAUAUCGAGGUCCAGGCAAGGAAGAUAUUACUUCAAGCGCAUGUAAGGUUUUAGGUCUUUUGGCAACAGUUCCUACAAUCCGAUCACCUUCAGUUAAGGGCGGUCAAUACGACGGCAAAGAGGACAAAACUACACCAGAAAACAGGAUAGUGAGUGCAAACAAUGAUUGCAGUAUGUAUGUUGAAACUCAACAGCAGAUGACACCGCAAGAAACUAAAUGUGACUGGGAGUUUUGCAGGAGAAACAUGUGAUUCUUUACAUUGGCAGUAACCAGUGAAAUCCCAUAAAACUAAUGUGUUAUGAAACAGAAGUCUUUCAUUAGUAGGCCUUACAGCAAGUGUUGGGUGCACAUUUUAAGAAGUUAAAUUAUAGUCUGUGAUAAUGUACUAAAUGUGAGGACAUAUGUGGGAAACAAUCAGUAUAAAAUGAGACAUUUCACUGAAUUCCAGUCAUUGUAUAUAGAGUGUAAAUAUAUCACAAAUUUCUCAUUUUUUAACUAAAACUAUUUUUAAAAUAUUUCCAGUGAUGCGAGAUUUUUCUGUCUUGAUUUGUUACUCAUGUUCAUUUCUCACAAUGUUAAUUGUAGCAAUUUUGCUUUUAUAAAGCAACAUUAUGAUUUACCUUUUAUUGUAUGUGUUUUCUACCAGUAGUCAUAGCAUUUACUGUGACUGUCUUUCCAAUAUACUAUGAAAUUAUUUUCUACAUAUUUUCUAUUUGAAUCAUAUUAUGCACAGGAAAAUCAUCUCAUAUUUUAAAAUAUGCAAAGAAAGUAACAUUUAGUAAUUAAAUUGUCAUUAUCAUAAUGGAAAAUUCCUCAUACAGUACAAUGUAAUGUGCCUAGAAAAGAAUUCAUUGUAUACAGGAACUGUUGAGCAGUAGCUUAUUUAUUUAUUGUAUUUUUUGCAUGGAGCCACCAACUGAUGGCUUUUGCAAACUCCAUAGCAAUUUUUUUACAUGUUUUGUACAAACAGAGAAUACACACAUUUUAUAUAUGCAUAAUACAGAUGUCAGUGUACUUAGUAAGACCACAAAAUUGUGUGAUACACCAUAAUUAUUAUAUAUAUUCAGAUUUUGAUUUAAGUGUCAGGAAGUCGUUUCUGAAAGUAUUUGUAUGGAGUGUAGCCAUGUAUGGAAGUGAAACAUGGACGAUAACCAGUUUGGACAAGAAGAGAAUAGAAGCUCUCGAAAUGUGGUGCAACAGAAGAAUGCUGAAGAUUAGAUGGGUAGAUCACAUAACUAAUGAGGAGGUGUUGAAUAGGAUUGGGGAGAAGAGAAGUUUGUGGCACAACUUGACUAGAAGAAGGGAUCGGUUGGUAGGACAUGUUUUGAAGCAUCAAGGGAUCACAAAUUUAGCAUUGGAGGGCAGCGUGGAGGGUAAAAAUCGUAGAGGGAGACCAAGAGAUCAAUACACUAAGCAGAUUCAGAAGGAUGUAGGUUGCAAUAGGUACUAGGAGAUGAAGAAGCUUGCACAGGAUAGAGUAGCAUCAAACCAGUCUCAGGACUGAAGACCACAACAACAACAUCAUUCAGAUUUUAUAGAACAGAAUAUAAAAAGAUUUCAAUUUAGUUUAAUAUUAAUAUUCAUUCAGGGAGUAUAUGCACUUAUCUAUCAGGAAUGAUUUCAGUUCCCUUUGUGACAAAGAACUAGGCAGUUUGUAAUAACAUAUCUGGACAUUAAUGCAUGGACCAUCACUUAUUGUUUUUAGUUUAGUUGUUUGUCUGUAAAAGCAGUCUUUCCUUAUUUAUAUUGUAGACAUGCAUAUCAGAGCACUUGGUUGCAGUGUUUUGAUGUGUCACACAAAAUGUAAUUAAUUUGUAAAGAUACAACAAGUAAACUGUGGUCAUGUGUUAUGUACGGAAA